AUCCCCGUGGGGAUCCGUGGGUUCCAUCCCCGGUGGUUCCAAUCCCGUGAGGACCCCGAGGUUCCAUCCCCGUGGGUUCCAUCCCCGUGGGGAUCC
This is a non-coding RNA of Turdus rufiventris (rufous-bellied thrush), 96 nucleotides long. Lineage: Eukaryota; Metazoa; Chordata; Aves; Passeriformes; Turdidae. The record is from the annotation of a GenBank genome assembly.